This 63-nucleotide transfer RNA is filed under the name Gryllotalpa orientalis (oriental mole cricket). RNAcentral's name for it is "tRNA-Gly". It matches the Rfam family "tRNA". Rfam says of the family: Transfer RNA (tRNA) molecules are approximately 80 nucleotides in length. The record is from RNAcentral. Lineage: Eukaryota; Metazoa; Arthropoda; Insecta; Orthoptera; Gryllotalpidae.
AUUUAUUUAGUAUAUUAGUACAUUUGACUUCCAAUCAAAAAGAUUGAUUAAUCAAAAUAAAUA